ACGGAAGGCAGCAGUGGGGAAUACUGCACAAUGGGCGAAAGCCUGAUGCAGCGACGCCGCGUGAGUGAAGAAGUAUCUCGGUAUGUAAAGCUCUAUCAGCAGGGAAGAAAAUGACGGUACCUGACUAAGAAGCCCCGGCUAACUACGUGCCAGCAGCCGCGGUAAUACGUAGGGGGCAAGCGUUAUCCGGAUUUACUGGGUGUAAAGGGAGCGUAGACGGUUUGGCAAGUCUGAAGUGAAAUGCGGGGGCUCAACUCCUGAACUGCUUUGGAAACUGUCGAACUAGAGUGCAGGAGAGGUAAGUGGAAUUCCUAGUGUAGCGGUGAAAUGCGUAGAUAUUAGGAGGAACACCAGUGGCGAAGGCGGCUUACUGGACUGUAACUGACGUUGAGGCUCGAAAGCGUGGGGAGCAAACAGGAUUAGAUACCCUGGUA
This 434-nucleotide ribosomal RNA is filed under the name uncultured Lachnospiraceae bacterium. RNAcentral's name for it is "partial 16S ribosomal RNA". It matches the Rfam family "Bacterial small subunit ribosomal RNA", at positions 341 to 792 of the family's 1533-position model. Lineage: Bacteria; Bacillati; Bacillota; Clostridia; Lachnospirales; Lachnospiraceae. The record is from RNAcentral.